Molecule: long non-coding RNA, 417 nt
Filed under: Canis lupus familiaris (dog)
Lineage: Eukaryota; Metazoa; Chordata; Mammalia; Carnivora; Canidae
Description: lncRNA (ENSCAFG00000053378.1, ENSCAFG00845022772.1)
Source: RNAcentral
ACGGCUGCCCCCGCUCUUCCCACCAGGUUUCUACACCUGGACCAUCAACUAGGGCAAAGUUAUCACCAAUGGCAGUAAAACUCAUUUUCUGGGGGUCAAGGUCCUCUUUCUAAUGUUGAGAUGAGAAGGAGAUGAGAGAUGCCUUGGUUGCCUUUGGGUCAUAGCAGGAUUUGGUCAAACAAGACGAGAACUAUUCCCACAUGGAAACUGCUCUCACUCGUAGAGAACUUUAGCAUUCUCAUCUCAUAUUCCAUUUGAUGCUUACAACAUACCUGUGAGGUAGGUAUUAAAAUUAACUAUGUUUUACAAAUGAGGAAACCCGGGUUUACAGAGAGUAUAAGAAGCAUCCCCAAGCAAGAGUGAUUUUUCCCUUUCUCACCUACCAUGUGUCUCAGAUUUGUCAGAGUUCUCCCAGAG